CGAAGAACCUUACCUACUCUUGACAUCCAGAGAACUUAGCAGAGAUGCUUUGGUGCCUUCGGGAACUAUGAGACAGGUGCUGCAUGGCUGUCGUCAGCUCGUGUUGUGAAAUGUUGGGUUAAGUCCAGCAACGAGCGCAACCCUUAUCCUUUGUUGCCAGCGGUUAGGCCGGGAACUCAAAGGAGACUGCCAGUGAUAAACUGGAGGAAGGUGGGGAUGACGUCAAGUCAUCAUGGCCCUUACGAGUAGGGCUACACACGUGCUACAAUGGCGCAUACAAAGAGAAGCGACCUCGCGAGAGCAAGCGGACCUCAUAAAGUGCGUCGUAGUCCGGAUUGGAGUCUGCAACUCGACUCCAUGAAGUCGGAAUCGCUAGUAAUCGUGGAUCAGAAUGCCACGGUGAAUACGUUCCCGGGCCUUGUACACACCGCCCGUCACACCAUGGGAGUGGGUUGCAAAAGAAGUAGGUAGCUUAACCUUCGGGAGGGCG
Molecule: ribosomal RNA, 490 nt
Filed under: uncultured Enterobacter sp.
Lineage: Bacteria; Pseudomonadati; Pseudomonadota; Gammaproteobacteria; Enterobacterales; Enterobacteriaceae
Description: bacterial SSU rRNA
Rfam family: Bacterial small subunit ribosomal RNA
Source: RNAcentral